This 492-nucleotide ribosomal RNA is filed under the name uncultured bacterium. Its description in RNAcentral is "partial 16S ribosomal RNA". It matches the Rfam family "Bacterial small subunit ribosomal RNA", at positions 30 to 507 of the family's 1533-position model. The record is from RNAcentral.
AUUGAACGCUGGCGGCAGGCCUAACACAUGCAAGUCGAACGGAAGCACAGUACGUGCUCGUUGUUUCGGCUGGGGACUGGCGGGCGAGGCCUGAGAAUAUCCGAGUCUGCUGUUGCUUAGGGGCGGACGCAGGCGAACAUACGCCAUUAGCGCAGACGACGUACGGGGGGAAUCUGGGGACCUUACGCUAUUGGACGAUUCUAGGAGCCGAUGUCGGAUUAGCUAGUUGGCGGGGUAAAGGCCCACCAAGGCGACGAUCCGUAGCUGGUCUGAGAGGAUGAUCAGCCACACUGGAACUGAGACACGGUCCAGACUCCUACGGGAGGCAGCAGUGGGGAAUAUUGGACAAUGGGCGCAAGCCUGAUCCAGCCAUACCGCGUGGGUGAAGAAGGCCUUCGGGUUGUAAAGCCCUUUUGUUGGGGAAGAAAGGCAGUAGGUUAAUACCUCGCUGUUUUGACGGUACCCAAAGAAUAAGCACCGGCUAACUUCGUG